Molecule: long non-coding RNA, 4445 nt
Filed under: Homo sapiens (human)
Lineage: Eukaryota; Metazoa; Chordata; Mammalia; Primates; Hominidae
Description: HSALNT0389401
Source: RNAcentral
AUGCUGUGAGUAUGGACUAUACAAAGAAAGAGAAGCAUAUCUCCUUAUGCUCCUGCAUUCAAAAACUUCUUCCCAUUGUAGGAGACAAGAAAUGAAGCAGAAGAAGGAGCACAGAUUUUGGGGUCAAACUGUCUUUUACUGAGGUAGAGUGGAGCAUUCAGAGAGAGUGCCUGAAGGAGCAGAGGGGACAGAAGAGUCUGUUGGCCUGGACUUUGAGAAGGCUUCCUGAAGCAGCAGGAAGAACUUGAGAAAGACCUUUAAGCAUGCUGGGAUUUGUAUUCGUGGAUGAAAGUAUGAGGGCAUCCUAGGUAGAAGAUACAGCAUGAGCAAAGGACCAGGAGCAGACAUGAAUGAGGUGUGAUGAGAACUUAAAUCGGAGAGUUUGGGUCAUGGAGAAGCAAAUGAGACCAGAAAGCCACUGGGGUUUCUUAAACAGGGGCUUGUCGUUCUGAAAAUGGGGUUAAGUACAGAAGAGACUAAACAUUUAUUGAGCUACAAUUAUCUCUAAUACUUACUACUACUCUGAAACUAUUAUCUCCAAUUUAUAUAUAAAAAUACUGAGGCUUAUAGAGAUAAAACAAAUUGUCAGAGUUCAUAUAACCAGUAAGUGGGAGAGCCAAGAAUGUAGCAGGAGUGUUAAGACAGAAGAAGUUUUGAGAAGAGAGGGUAAAAUUUAGGUGGGAAAAGAUAGAGCAAAUUAUAAUUUGUGAAAUUCUGUGCAGAGCCUUAAGGGCUGAGAGUACGAACUUGAGUGAAAGUUCAAGGAUGCAUUCCCUCCCUUUGAGAAGGAUUUUGAGGUGGUGGGUUCUAGAUGCUGUUCUCAGCGCUAUCCAAUGACCCAAGGGCCCAAUAAUAUUGUCUUAAUUUCCUGUGCUGGGGAAAGCUCUUUCCAGCACCAUCUGGUGGCAUCUACCUGAAUUGCUGGUGUAGAACCAAGGAGGAGAUGCGUACCCUCUGGUGCAAAGCUUCCCUAAGUGUGGCAAAGAAAUAAUGUCUUGUUUCUGCCUUUUCUAUCACUUCUAAGGAUAUCUAUCUAUCUAGUGCCUAGCAAAGUAGAUAUCUGAUACCCAUUAGGUUCCUUCUUACCACUAUAAUGUCUGGGUGUUGGUUCUCAAACUUUAUUGUGUGCCAAAAUCCCAUGUGGAGUUUGUUAAUGGUAUCCUCCCACCCCUAGGCUCUAAUUUAGUAGAUCUGGGGUGCAUCUAUGAAAGCCAGAUUUUAAUAAGCCCCAGGGGGUUUCAGUGCAAUUGGCCCCUGGAGCUCACUUAGGGAAGCUUGACUCCAGAAAGUAUGCAUCUCUUCAUGGGCUAUAAGCCAGCGAUUCAGAUAGAUGCCAAUAGAGGCUGCUUGGCAAAGCCUUACUAGGUACUUUAUUCCUUGUCUCUUGGCCCAUUUUUAGAAGAAGGGAGUCUUCACUCUGGGAAUGGGAGGAUCUUCAAUGAGCAGGGACUAAUUUUUCCAGCUGACUCUGAAUAAAGAUCUACAAAAGCUGUCAGCCAGACCCACUCCAUCACUAAAAUAAAGCAACUAUGUGUCUGAAUAAGCCCUGGCCUGGCAAUAUUGGACCUUUCCUUGCUGCUAAUUCAUUCAAUGAUAUUGGGCAGGACUGUCUUGAUUGCUCCGUUCAGUUCCUAUGUCUGAAAACUGAAGGGAUCAAAGUAAAUGAACCUAAGGUGCCCGGGUUCUCUGACACAUUUGUUAACCCUCAUAAUCUCCUUCUGCCUCCCAUGAGGCAAGACUCUCCCUUCACCUAGCCUACUUUAGAGGGGCUGCCCAUCCUUCCCUCUGCAGGUACCUCUCAGGCUAAUGUUCUUUUGUGAGCCCAACAUGGGGCCUCACAUUCACAGAGCAGAUUAAAGAGAUUUGGUUUAAGGUCAUCCAGUUGGAAAGUGAGAGAAGCUGACCAUUUGUGGAGUCUGGAUCCAGCUCACCAGCUCUAAGUUUGUUCCCCUUUCUCAUUCACUGUGGAUGGUGGUAAGGAUGUUUUUGAGUGUUUUGAAUUUAGUGCCAGGGAAGCUGGGCUGAGUUCAUGUAUAGCUGAGAGAUCAUGGGGAAAUGGCCACCACAUUGCACAAAUCCAGGGGCACAAUUGACAUUGCAACCUAUAUGAAGGUGCUCCCUGGAGUUGUGUUAUGAGGAAUCUGAGUGGUUUUAUGUGAUGUCCCUGGCAGUGCAUCAUAGUUUUGGUGGUAUUUUCUUUUCCUUUCAAGAGGCUAUUAAUGGUCCCUUUUAGAAACUAUCUUUGCAUAUUACAGAAAGCUAGGUGGAUAGCUCUUGAAUAUAGCAAUCCAUGGUAGACACAGACAGUAUUCAUAGAGUCCACUUUAGCUAAGUGUAGAAGCCAUCAGCUCAGGAGUUCAUGAUACUGCAUUUAAGUGGGGAUCAUCUUCCCUAUCUUACCCUACAUGCAAGAAGUUGGAGAUUUCCAUAGAAAUUCCGGUAAAGUGGAAGAUGCUUUUUAGUGUUGCAUGGAGCUAGAAGGUCAAGGUCUUCCAGAAAAGUGCAGCCUCCUCUAUCCAUCUCCCAAAUCGUUGAUGCCCUUUCACCUACCCAGGACUUGCUGUGACCUGACAAGCAAAACAGCAAGGGUGAAAAUCCCCUUAUGACAAUUCAUGCCAGCCUGUCUUGCACAAAUUUGAGAGCAUUUCCUUAAAUUCUGCACCCUGGGUGGCUCACUCACCUCAUUCUAGUGCCAACCCUAUGACAUUUAAAUCACCUAUUUGGGUGUCAGUCCUGUGUUAGGUAUUAGGGUACAGAAAUCAAGAAAAUAUGGCCCUGCCUACAAGGACUUGACAUACAGUUGGAGAGGCCAUCAGGAAAUCCAGUGAUUCUGACUUGCCUUGAGAUUCACUAGGUGGGAACACAGAAGUUCCAAUGGAGCAACAAGUGAGGUACCUGGUCUACCUGGGAGGUUGAGAAGCCUUCCCUGAAAGGAUAUAGUCCUAGAGCAGAGACUUAAAAGGUGAGGAGGAGUCUGAAGGGGAGGGAGUGAGAACAGCAUGGACAAAGUCCCCAAGGCAAGAGAGAGAUGAGUUUGGAAAACCACACAUUGAUUAGUAUGACUGAGAUGAAAAUUGCAUGGGCUUCAUACUGGGGGGAGGGAGUGGGCAGUGGCCAGAGAGGCAAAGCGUGAUGGAGCCUGCAUUCCAUGCAAAAUUAUAAGAAUUUCUAUCCUGAAAACUGUGGGGAGCUGCUGAAGAAUUUUGAGCAGGAAAAUAACAUGAUCAGAAUUGCAUUUUAGAAGUAUCACUCUGGUGGAAAUGUGGAGAUUCAACUGAACAGAGGUGAGAACAGAGACAGAAUGAGCAGUUAGACCAUGAUUGCAAGAGUCCAGGUGAGGGGCACCAAGAUGGAAAGGAUCCAAUCCACUGUCAUAACUCCCUUGCGUCACUACUAGGAAGGAAAAUUGCCUCCAGCCUUCUCCAGCUCUGGCAGGGAAGUUUCAGUUAUCUGGGUGAGGAUAAGCUUCUCCAGGAGUCCAAGGUAGGAGAACUUGGGGGACUUUUUCUGCUCCAUGAUGUAGAAUCUCUUGCAGACCCAGGGUCUGCUGUGGUGGGACCAGAUAGUGCCUUUCAAGCCUGGGCUGAGUGGAGGAGGGGUGCCUUUGGCCACAGAAAGAAGAGCCCAGAGACCGCCCCUGGGAAAUCUUCCUUUCAGGACUGAGCUCCUGCACUUACGGGUGGAGUAGGAGCAAGGAAGCAGUGGCAUUAUGGGGCAUCUGUGAAGUGCCAGUGAAGGCUGCAUCGUGGCUGUGUUCCAUGGUAACCGUUUCCAGGAAGAGCAGCACCGGAGGAGUGCAGGUUCUGAAGACUUUCAAUCAGCCCCAAAGCUUAGCCAGACAAAACGUCGUGUUGCUGGCUUCACAGCCUCCGCGGACACCAAAGGGAGAGGGUAUGACGUGGGCAAACAUUCUCCUAGGUUAUUGCAGGAACUGUGAUCACAAGGACCAUGAGCGCAGCUGCCUCCCGGGGCUCGAUCACAGGAGAGGAGCCCAGGGCCAGAGGUCCCUGAACUGCAGACCAGAGCAUGUGGCUGCAGGAGAGGAAUGAGGCAGAGAAAGCACAGCUACACACAGUGGAUUCCUGGCCUCUUUCCCAUCUCCCUGAGAAAGACUCAUCACGUCUCCACUGUGGCUCUGUGGGUAAUACCGGUAGAGAGGAAAGAGGAGGCUCUGGAGCCAGAUGGCCUGGAUCCGAAUCCCAGGCUGCUGCAACAGCUGGGCUCAGCAUUGAAAUGGGGACCAUCUGGGAGCCACACGACGGAGACUGAGUUGGCACCUUGAGAGGGAGGCAGAGCUGCGAUGCACAGAGCGGUGCUGAGGCAGACUCACAGCUAUGCAGCAAUCGCGUCCCCAGCCCAGCACCAGCACUACUGACUGGGAAAGGACUUCUCGCCCCGAUGCCUGCCCUGCUGCAAAAACCCCCUAGCUUCCUUUCAGCACAAAG